This 538-nucleotide ribosomal RNA is filed under the name uncultured bacterium. Its description in RNAcentral is "bacterial SSU rRNA". It matches the Rfam family "Bacterial small subunit ribosomal RNA", at positions 35 to 562 of the family's 1533-position model. The record is from RNAcentral.
GGCCGCGUCGACCUUAACACAUGCAAGUCGAGGGGCAGCAUGAACUUAGCUUGCUAAGUUUGAUGGCGACCGGCGCACGGGUGAGUAACGCGUAUCCAACCUUCCCUUUACCCGGGGAUAGCCUUUCGAAAGAAAGAUUAAUACCCGAUGGUUUCGGGGUUCCGCAUGAGACCUUGAAUAAAGAUUUAUCAGUAAAGGAUGGGGAUGCGUUCCAUUAGGUAGUAGGCGGGGUAACGGCCCACCUAGCCGACGAUGGAUAGGGGUUCUGAGAGGAAGGUCCCCCACAUUGGAACUGAGACACGGUCCAAACUCCUACGGGAGGCAGCAGUGAGGAAUAUUGGUCAAUGGACGAGAGUCUGAACCAGCCAAGUAGCGUGAAGGAAGACUGCCCUAUGGGUUGUAAACUUCUUUUAUAUGGGAAUAAAAAAGUCCACGUGUGGAUUCUUGUAUGUACCAUAUGAAUAAGCAUCGGCUAAUUCCGUGCCAGCAGCCGCGGUAAUACGGAAGAUGCGAGCGUUAUCCGGAGUCGACGCGGCCG